UUCCAUGUUUGUAGUGACGACACUCGCAGUCACUGUCUCUCUCUCUUGAUUUGAAGGUAUAAGAAAUUGUUCAGUUCUAGGACUCUCACAACAGUGUUGAUCAGAGUCACCUCCUGGUAUCUGUGUUUUGUGGGGUUUGUGCUGUGUGGUUGGAGUUUUCCACUGGUCUGGCUGUGGUUUCGCUGUGCAGGUGUGGUCGGUUGCUAGGAAACAGACACGACAGUUGAUUGGAGACUUUGAUCGAGGAGGAACAUGUGAACCUCAUCAGAACAUCCAUCUUCCACAUUACUGCGGUGUGUGGGGGUCUUCCAGCUGUGGUUUGGGCACUGCAUGUUCUGUACCACCAUCAUAAAAGUGGAGGCAGAAUCUCAGCCAUCAGCAUCUUCCUCAUCCUCAGUGACCUGCUGGAGCUGAUU
Long non-coding RNA from Pygocentrus nattereri (red-bellied piranha), 416 nucleotides. RefSeq lists it as uncharacterized. The record is from RefSeq and is a predicted model, not a curated record. The transcript is spliced from 4 exons. NCBI's taxonomy places the organism in Eukaryota, Metazoa, Chordata, Actinopteri, Characiformes, Serrasalmidae.